ACAUGCACACUCGAGUCCUUUCUUUCCCCCUAGUCCCCUGAGAAGGAAGGAACACACACACACACACACACACACACACACACACGGCGUUCCUUUGAGAAAGCAACGGAGAACCCAGGAAAAGCCAAAGAAACAUUGAGAGCCUGGGGGUAGGGGCCCGAGAGAGAGAGAUAGGGUCGUCGAGUCUACGCGGAAUUGUAUAAUUCCAGCAUGGAGAGGGGAAUAGAAAACUUUGUUUUUGGAUUCCAAGAACUUCAAGGAUUUCAAGAACAUAUGAAGUUAAAUCAAGGUAACUGAAGCUUCAUCCAUGGACCUGAUUUCUCCUCAUCUCUGACUCUUUAGUAAUCCUUGAACUUGCAUCUAGUCAGAAAGCAAAGACAGAACAGUCAAUAGGAGGAAAAGCUGUCCCUUCCCUUUAGAAAAUAAUAAGGGGAAAAAAAACCACAACGAUGUCAGACAUGAUCAAUCUCACCAGAGGGAUGGGAAUGCCUUCUUCAGGAACUGGUCCUUCAGGCAAGGUCACAGAAUCAAUCAAGAAAUAAGGAGAGCUUCCCUGCAACCACCAACACAUAAUGUAAGUUAAAAAUGAGUGGUUUCAUAAACCAUUGAGGUUUUGAGAGUGAUUAUGCAGCAAAGAUUCAUGAUAAGCACAAUACAUACACUUUUAUCAUGCUUUUCACAUUUAAUAUUUUGAUAGUACAUUAAUUGUCUUUUGUCACAUAACAUUAUCAUCCAAAACUUGGAGGCUUGAAACAGCACCCAUUUACUAUCACACACUCUGUGGAUCCGGAGUUUGGUGCCAGCUUACCUGGAUACCCUGUUUAAGUGUAUAAAGUUACAGUCAACAUGUUGACCAGUAGUGUGGUCUCAUGUGAGACUCAA
Molecule: long non-coding RNA, 882 nt
Filed under: Oryctolagus cuniculus (rabbit)
Lineage: Eukaryota; Metazoa; Chordata; Mammalia; Lagomorpha; Leporidae
Description: lncRNA (ENSOCUG00000038052.1)
Source: RNAcentral